RNAcentral lists this non-coding RNA (156 nucleotides) under Bauldia litoralis. RNAcentral's name for it is "Prosthecomicrobium litoralum 6S / SsrS RNA". It matches the Rfam family "6S / SsrS RNA". Rfam says of the family: E. coli 6S RNA was the first non coding RNA to be sequenced, but its function was unknown until recently. It consists of 184 nucleotides that fold into an extended hairpin structure with a large single-stranded internal bulge. The 6S RNA specifically associates with RNA polymerase holoenzyme containing the sigma70 specificity factor. Lineage: Bacteria; Pseudomonadati; Pseudomonadota; Alphaproteobacteria; Hyphomicrobiales; Kaistiaceae. The record is from Rfam by way of RNAcentral.
GCGAGGCUGUGGGGCCCGGCAGGAGAAGCAUUCCCCGGGGCCUUAUCAAUCCUAAAGGGAGCUGUCCCUGUGCGGGCUCGUGGGCUCGCGUAUACGGCGCCCACCUACUCUGUAGGUCUCCGGGAUUCGAUACUCCACCGGCUUUGCGGCCUCGCU